AGAAAAUGUUGAAAACCGAAGAUACGACAAAAAAUUAAAGAGGAAAAGCUUAGAAAAUAUUGAAAACCGAAGAUACGACAAAAAAUUAAAGAGGAAAAGCUUAGAAAAAUAUUGAAAACUUAAGAUCGACAAAGAAUUAAAUAGGAAAAUAUAGACGUAAUGGAAAUGGAAACUCGGAUAAAUAGAAUGAUAACAAAAGAAUAAGAUUAAUGAAAGAUAUACCAAUGAAAUGAAGGGAUACGAAACUUAGCUUAGAAAAAUAUUGAAAACUUAAGAUCGACAAAGAAUUAAAGAGGAAAAGAUAGACGUAAUGGAAAUGGAAACUCGGAUAAAUAGAAUGAUAAUGAAAGAAUAGGAUUAAUGAAGGAUUACGCAAUGAAAUGAAGGGAUACGAAACUUAGCUUAGAAAAAUAUUGAAAACUUAAGAUCGACAAAGAAUUAAAGAGGAAAAGAUAGACGUAAUGGAAAUGGAAACUCGGAUAAAUAGAACGAUAAUGAAAGAAUAGAAUUAAUGGAGGAUUACGCACUGAAAUGAAGGAAUACGAAACAAAGGCUUAGAAAAAUAUUGAAAACUUAAGAUCGACAAAGAAUUAAAGAGGAAAAUAUAGACGUAAUGGAAAUGGAAACUCGGAUAAACAGAAUGAUGAUGAAAGAAUAGGAUUAAUGAAGGAUUACGCAAUGAAAUGAAGGGAUACGAAACUCAGCUCAGGAAAUUAUUAAAAACUGAAGAUCGACAAAGAAUUAAAGAGGAAAAUAUAGACGUAAUGGAAAUGGAAACUCGGAUAAAUAGAAUGAUAAUGAAAGAAUAGGAUUAAUGAAAGAUAUACCAAUGAAAUGAAGGAAUACGAAACUUAGCUUAGAAAAAUAUUGAAAACUUAAGAUCGACAAAGAAUUAAAGAGGAAAAUAUAGACGUAAUGGAAAUGGAAACUCGGAUAAAUAGAACGAUAAUGAAAGAAUAGGAUUAAUGAAGGAUUACGCAAUGAAAUGAAGGGAUACGAAACUUAGCUUAGAAAAAUAUUGAAAACUUAAGAUCGACAAAGAAUUAAAGAGGAAAAUAUAGACGUAAUGGAAAUGGAAACUCGGAUAAAUAGAAUGAUAAUGAAAGAAUAGGAUUAAUGAAGGAUUACGCAAUGAAAUGAAGGAAUACGAAACAAAGGCUUAGAAAAAUAUUGAAAACCAAAGAUCGACAAAGAAUUAAAGAGGAAAAUAUAGACGUAAUGGAAAUGGAAACUCGGAUAAAUAGAAUGAUAAUGAAAGAAUAGGAUAAAUAAAUUAUGAAAAAGGAGAAACAUAUAAAAUAAAAUAAUGAAAUAAACAAAAAUAAAACAUAACAAAAUAAUAAGACAAAUAAAAUAAUUAAAAUAAAAUAAUAAAAUAAUAAAAUAAAACGAAUAAAAUAAAAUAAAACAAAAAAUACAAAUUAAAUAAGAAAUAAAAUAAAUAACCAGACAAAUAAAACAAAUAAAAUAAAAAAAACAUACAAAUAAAAUCAGAAAUAAAAUAAAAUAAUAAAAUAAACAGACAAAUAAAAUAAAAUAAUAAAAUAAAGAGAAAUAAAAAAAUAUACAAAACAGAAAACAAACAGAAAAAAACAAAAAAAAAAUAACAAUAAAAUAACAAAAUAAAACCAAAAAAAUUAAAUAAUAAAAUACACCAAAAAAAAAGGAGAAACAAAAGAUGAUAAAAGGGAAUUGAAAGGAAAGAAAACACAAGCGUAAUAUUGAUGAAAUUGAUGAUAGUUAUUGACGCCAAGACACAAAACAAAGGAAGGAAAACAAGAUAAAAAUAUACACUGAAAAAUAUUGCCCCUUAAGAAUACACAGACGGACGAACGAACGGACGCAGGAAAAGGUCGAAUUGGGGAAAAAAAGAGGAAAUUCAUGAAAAGGUCCAGUGAAAAAAAUGAAAAAAAAGGGAGAAUAAUGAAAAAAAAUGGAAGAGGGAAAAUAUAAUGAAAAAUUUGAUGAAAAAAAUGGAAAAUAUAAUGAAAAAAUGGAAAAUAAUGAAAAAUGAUUAAAAUGGAAAAUAAUGAAAAAUAUGAAAAAUAAUGAAAAAUAAUGAAAAAUAUGAUGAAAAAAAUGGGAAAUAAUGAAAAAUAUGAAAAAAAAUGGAAAAAUAAUGAAAAAUAAUAAAAAAUAUGAUGAAAAAAAUCAGAAAUAAUGAAAAAUAUGAAAAAAAAGGAAAAAUAAUGAAAAAUAAUGAAAAAUAAUGAAAAAUAUGAAAAAAAAGGAAAAAUAAUGAAAAAUAAUGAAAAAUAUGAUGAAAAAAAUCAGAAAUAAUGAAAAAUAUGAAAAAUAAUGAAAAAUAAUGAAAAAUAUGAUGAAAAAAAUCAGAAAUAAUGAAAAAUAUGAAAAAAAAUGGAAAAUAAUGAAAAAUAUGAUGAAAAAAUAAUGAAAAAAAAUGUAAAUAUGAAAAAUGAAACAAAAUGAAUAAAAAAUAUUAACAAAAUACACACACACAAAAAAAAUGGAAAAAAUUAUAUGAAAAAAAUGAAAAACAAAAAUAAAGAUAAAAAAAUGAAAAUGGAAUAAAAAAAUGAAAAAUACAAUACAAUACAACACAAUAGUUAACCAUUACCAAAAACCAUCAAACUUAUUCACUAAUACACUAAAACAUAUCAUUGCAAAUCACUGUAUGUGUAUAUGUAUGUAUGUAUGUAUAUGUAUAAGUGACCUCUAUCAUUACUUCUAUCAAUACUAUUAUGCUCUAUUAAUACACCAACUAUUAGGUAUUAUGCAUCAUUAUCAGACAUCAUCAUUAUCAUUAUUAUUAUUAUUAUCAUUAUUUCGAUUAUUCUUGUAUUAAAUAAAACUUGCGACCCAAACACUUAAAUUCUACGGUAAAAAAAAAGUGUGGUUAUUUAUAUAUAUUGAGAGAGAGGGAGGAGGGGGGUGGGGGUGUCUGCAAAGGGAGAAUGAGCGAGUGUGUUUGACCUCUCGGCACACACACACUCACACACACACACACACAUUUGGCAAGGCAUUUGACAAGGACACAAUUGACAGAGGUGUUGUGUGUUGGUGUAAAGAACGCUUGCUAUUUUGAAAGGGCGAAAGUGAGUUCAUAAUUUUGUAGGUAAGGUUCGGGAAGGGAAGGGAAGGAGGGAAGGACACGGAGGGUUUGGAAAGGGAAGGGAAGGAAAGGGAAGGGAAGGAAAGGGAAGGGAAGGGAAGGGAAGGUUCGGGAAGGAAAGGGAAGGGAAGGGAAGGGAAGGAAAGGGAAGGAAAGGGAAGGGAAGGUUCAGAAAGGGAGGGGAAGGUUCAGAAAGGGAAGAGAAGGGAAGGAAAGAGAAGGAAAGGAAAGGAAAGGAAAGGGAAGGUUCAGAAAGGGAAGGGAAGGAAAGGGAAGGAAGGGGAAGGUUCAGAAAGGGAAUGCAAGAGAAAAAGAAGGUUAAUAAAGGGAAGGGAAGGGAAAGGAAGGUAUAUAAGGGAUGACUUUUAAAACAAGUACGAAAAAGACAGAAAAACGUAAACUUGACAAAAUUAAAAUAAAACAAUAAUAAAAUGUGUGUGUGUGUGUGUGUGUGUGUGUGUGUGUGUGUGUGUUAGUGUGUUCAUAUGUACAGCGUCGUAACCUGAUCCUACAACACUGAUACGGAACCUCCUCCUCCUCCUCCUCCUCCUCCUCCUCUUCCUCCUCCUCCUCCUCUCUCGUUGAUUAUAAACAAGUAUCACAAAAAAGACUUAAUGCUACGUGUGUGUGUGUUCGUUUGUUGGUGUUUGAUUAGGCUAUUGUGUUUUAUUUUAAUGUUUGUUCGUUCGUUUGUUUGGUUUUAUUUAUCUGGUUAUUGUUGUUUUUGUUGUUGUUGUUUACAUUUGAUUGCUUUUUCUUCAUGUUUUCCUUGUUUUCUUAAUUUCCUAUUGUCAUUAUUUUCUUUGUUUUCUUCUUUAUAAUAGUUUUUUUUCUUCUCAUUUUCCUCUUUUCUUCCUUUUUUCUGAUUUCCUUUCAUUCUUUUUUUCCUUCAAUUUCUUAUUAUUUUUAAUUUUCUUUUAUUUUCUUCAUUUUUGUCUUCAUUAAUUUUCUUUUUCUUCUUUUGUUUCGUUUUUUCUUUUCUUUCUUUUUCCUUCUAUUUCUUGUUAUUUUCCUUUUAUUUAUUUUCUUUUUUCUUAAUUUAUUUUCUUUUUCUUCAUUUUUCUUUUCUUUUCUUUCUUUCUUUUUCCUUCUAUUUCUUAUUAUUUUCCUUCUAUUUAUUUUCUUCUAUUUUUUUCAUUUAUUUUCUUCUAUUUUUUUCAUUUAUUUUCUUCUAUUUUCUUUUUUCUUCAUUUAUUUUAUUUGUCUUCCAUUUUCUUUCUCUCUACACACACUAUCUUUAUCUUUCCCUUCUAUCUUUAUUUUCUCAUUAUUAUUAUUAUUAUCUUAUUUUUCUCGAGGUUUCCAUUUUCUUUAUUUCUCUUUCUUUCUUUCUAUCUUCUUUCUCUCUCUACACACACUAUCUUUAUCUUUAUCUCACUAUCUUUAUCUUUUCCUUCUAUCUUUAUUCUCUCAUUAUUAUCUCUCUCAAUAUUCCCAUUUUCUUUCUUUCUUUAUUUUUCUUUCCAUCUUCUUUCUCUCUCUCUACACACACUAUCUUUAUCUUUCCCUUCUAUCUUUAUUUUCUCAUUAUCUUUUCCUUCUUCUUCUUCUUUUCUUUAUAAAACAACCCACUUUUUUUUUUU
Long non-coding RNA from Eriocheir sinensis (Chinese mitten crab), 4656 nucleotides. RefSeq lists it as uncharacterized. The transcript has 2 exons. Lineage: Eukaryota; Metazoa; Arthropoda; Malacostraca; Decapoda; Varunidae. The record is from RefSeq and is a predicted model, not a curated record.